UACGUAGGGUGCAAGCGUUGUCCGGAAUUAUUGGGCGUAAAGAGCUCGUAGGCGGUCUGUCGCGUCGGCUGUGAAAUCCCGAGGCUCAACCUCGGGUCUGCAGUCGAUACGGGCAAACUAGAGUAUUGCAGGGGAGACUGGAAUUCCUGGUGUAGCGGUGAAAUGCGCAGAUAUCAGGAAGAACACCUAUGGCGAAGGCAGCUCUCUGGGACGGUACUGACGCUGAGACGCGAAAGCGUGGGGAGCGAACAGG
RNAcentral lists this ribosomal RNA (253 nucleotides) under uncultured bacterium. RNAcentral describes it as "partial 16S ribosomal RNA". It matches the Rfam family "Bacterial small subunit ribosomal RNA", at positions 524 to 776 of the family's 1533-position model. The record is from RNAcentral.